GAUGAACGCUGGCGGCGUGCCUAAUACAUGCAAGUCGAACGGGGAGUAGCAAUACUCUUAGUGGCGAACGGGUGAGUAACGCGUUGGUACCUGCCCCGAAGCGGGGGAUAACGGACCGAUAGGUCCGCGAAUACCCCACGUGCACGGUAACGAGUAAAGGUGAACACGAUGAUGGGAGGGGCCUGCGUCCCAUCAGCUAGUUGGUAAGGUAACAGCUUACCAAGGCGAUGACGGGUGCGUGACCUGAGAGGGUGGCCCCUCACAAUGGAACUGCAGCACGGUCCACACCCGGACGGAUGGGAGCAGUAGGUAACAUUGGGAACGGGCGCCAGCCUGAGCAACCACCGGCGCGGGAGCAAUGCCGGCGUGCGGGUAGUAAAGCACUUUUGACUGGGACGGGGAGGGACGGUACCGGUCAAAUCAGCCUCGGCUAACUACGUG
This 441-nucleotide ribosomal RNA is filed under the name uncultured bacterium. RNAcentral's name for it is "partial 16S ribosomal RNA". It matches the Rfam family "Bacterial small subunit ribosomal RNA", at positions 28 to 507 of the family's 1533-position model. The record is from RNAcentral.